This 250-nucleotide non-coding RNA is filed under the name Bacillus sp. (in: firmicutes). RNAcentral's name for it is "Bacillus sp. T-box sequence". It matches the Rfam family "T-box leader". Rfam says of the family: Uncharged tRNA acts as the effector for transcription antitermination of genes in the T-box leader family. T-boxes are found upstream of many aminoacyl-tRNA synthetase genes and some amino acid biosynthetic genes usually in Gram-positive bacteria. The record is from RNAcentral. Lineage: Bacteria; Bacillati; Bacillota; Bacilli; Caryophanales; Bacillaceae.
AUUAAAGCGUUGACGAGGAAAAAGUUGUAAGCAACGGUAUUCACAGAGAGCCGGCGGGGCUGAGAGCCGGCAUACCCCUUACAACGACAUCCCCUCUGAGUGCCGGUCUGAACGGAAACAAUUAGGAUCGGUCGAGUAGAAUUUACUCGUUAUCAAAAAGGACAAUAAUACAUUGUCCAUGAGGUGGCAUUUGUGAAAAUGUCAUAAACCAGGGUGGUACCGUGAAAAGAGAAGUCUUUUCACCCCUGCG